GGGUAUUUAGUCUAAAAAAGAAGACUGAUUUCGACUCAGUAGAUCGUGGCUAAAACCCACGGAUACCUU
RNAcentral lists this transfer RNA (69 nucleotides) under Chimaera opalescens. Its description in RNAcentral is "tRNA-Arg". It matches the Rfam family "tRNA". Rfam says of the family: Transfer RNA (tRNA) molecules are approximately 80 nucleotides in length. Their secondary structure includes four short double-helical elements and three loops (D, anti-codon, and T loops). The record is from RNAcentral. Lineage: Eukaryota; Metazoa; Chordata; Chondrichthyes; Chimaeriformes; Chimaeridae.